UGGGGAAUAUUGCACAAUGGGCGAAAGCCUGAUGCAGCAACGCCGCGUGAGUGAAGAAGGUUUUCGGAUUGUAAAGCUCUGUCUUUGGGGACGAUAAUGACGGUACCCAAGGAGGAAGCCACGGCUAACUACGUGCCUUGCUGCUGCCUCCCGUAGG
Molecule: ribosomal RNA, 157 nt
Filed under: uncultured bacterium
Lineage: Bacteria
Description: partial 16S ribosomal RNA
Rfam family: Bacterial small subunit ribosomal RNA
Source: RNAcentral